This 450-nucleotide ribosomal RNA is filed under the name uncultured organism. RNAcentral's name for it is "partial 16S ribosomal RNA". It matches the Rfam family "Bacterial small subunit ribosomal RNA", at positions 334 to 800 of the family's 1533-position model. The record is from RNAcentral.
CACUCCUACGGGAGGCAGCAGUGGGGAAUAUUGGACAAUGGGCGCAAGCCUGAUCCAGCCAUGCCGCGUGAGUGAUGAAGGCCCUAGGGUUGUAAAGCUCUUUCACCGGAGAAGAUAAUGACGGUAUCCGGAGAAGAAGCCCCGGCUAACUUCGUGCCAGCAGCCGCGGUAAUACGAAGGGGGCUAGCGUUGUUCGGAAUUACUGGGCGUAAAGCGCACGUAGGCGGAUCGAUCAGUCAGGGGUGAAAUCCCAGGGCUCAACCCUGGAACUGCCUUUGAUACUGUCGAUCUGGAGUAUGGAAGAGGUGAGUGGAAUUCCGAGUGUAGAGGUGAAAUUCGUAGAUAUUCGGAGGAACACCAGUGGCGAAGGCGGCUCACUGGUCCAUUACUGACGCUGAGGUGCGAAAGCGUGGGGAGCAAACAGGAUUAGAAACCCUUGUAGUCCCAUGA